UUGGUUAAGUUAGAAAGGGCGCACGGUGGAUGCCUUGGCACUAGGAGCCGAAGAAGGACGGGACUAACACCGAUAUGCUUUGGGGAGCUGUACGUAAGCGUUGAUCCAGAGAUUUCCGAAUGGGGGAACCCACUAUCUUUAGUCGGAUAGUAUCCUUACGUGAAUACAUAGCGUGAGGAAGGCAGACCCAGGGAACUGAAACAUCUAAGUACCUGGAGGAAGAGAAAGAAAAAUCGAUUUCCUGAGUAGCGGCGAGCGAAACGGAAAGAGCCCAAACCAAGAAGCUUGCUUCUUGGGGUUGUAGGACACUCUAUACGGAGUUACAAAAGAAAGUUAUAAAUGAAGCGGUCUGGAAAGGCCCGCCAAAGACGGUAACAGCCCGGUAGUUGAAAUGGCUUUCCCUCCAGAGUGGAUCCUGAGUACGGCGGAACACGUGAAAUUCCGUCGGAAUCCGGGAGGACCAUCUCCCAAGGCUAAAUACUCCCUAGUGACCGAUAGUGAACCAGUACCGUGAGGGAAAGGUGAAAAGCACCCCGGAAGGGGAGUGAAACAGUUCCUGAAACCGUGUGCCUACAAGUAGUUAGAGCCCGUUAAUGGGUGAUAGCGUGCCUUUUGUAGAAUGAACCGGCGAGUUACGAUUUGUUGCAAGGUUAAGCGGAAAAAGCGGAGCCGUAGCGAAAGCGAGUCUGAAUAGGGCGCAUAAGUAACAGGUCGUAGACCCGAAACCAGGUGAUCUACCCAUGUCCAGGAUGAAGGUAAGGUAAUACUUACUGGAGGUCCGAACCCACGCACGUUGAAAAGUGCGGGGAUGAGGUGUGGGUAGCGGAGAAAUUCCAAUCGAACUUGGAGAUAGCUGGUUCUCUCCGAAAUAGCUUUAGGGCUAGCCUCGAGGUAAAGAGUCAUGGAGGUAGAGCACUGUUUGGACUAGGGGCCCUUCUCGGGUUACCGAAUUCAGAUAAACUCCGAAUGCCAUGUACUUAUACUCGGGAGUCAGACUGCGAGUGAUAAGAUCCGUAGUCGAAAGGGAAACAGCCCAGACCACCAGUUAAGGUCCCCAAAUAUAUGUUAAGUGGAAAAGGAUGUGGGGUUGCUUAGACAACCAGGAUGUUGGCUUAGAAGCAGCCACCAUUGAAAGAGUGCGUAAUAGCUCACUGGUCGAGUGACCCCGCGCCGAAAAUGUACCGGGGCUAAACAUAUUACCGAAACUGUGGAUGAACCUCUUUAGAGGUUCGUGGUAGGAGAGCGUUCUAAGGGCGGUGAAGUCAGACCGGAAGGACUGGUGGAGCGCUUAGAAGUGAGAAUGCCGGUAUGAGUAGCGAAAGAAGGGUGAGAAUCCCUUCCACCGAAUAUCUAAGGUUUCCUGAGGAAGGCUCGUCCGCUCAGGGUUAGUCGGGACCUAAGCCGAGGCCGAUAGGCGUAGGCGAUGGACAACAGGUAGAGAUUCCUGUACCAGUGCUAAUUGUUUAACCGAUGGGGUGACACAGAAGGAUAGGGAAUCGCACGAAUGGAAAUGUGCGUCCAAGCAGUGAGUGUGAGAAGUAGGCAAAUCCGCUUCUCGCGAAGCAUGAGCUGUGAUGGGGAAGGAAAUUAAGUACGGAAGUUCCUGAUUUCACGCUGUCAAGAAAAGCCUCUAGGAAGAGUAGUACUGCCCGUACCGCAAACCGACACAGGUAGAUGAGGAGAGAAUCCUAAGGUGAGCGAGAGAACUCUCGUUAAGGAACUCGGCAAAAUGACCCCGUAACUUCGGGAGAAGGGGUGCUCUAUUAGGGUGCAAGCCCGAGAGAGCCGCAGUGAAUAGGCCCAGGCGACUGUUUAGCAAAAACACAGGUCUCUGCAAAACCGUAAGGUGACGUAUAGGGGCUGACGCCUGCCCGGUGCUGGAAGGUUAAGAGGAGUGCUUAGCUUCGGCGAAGGUACGAAUUGAAGCCCCAGUAAACGGCGGCCGUAACUAUAACGGUCCUAAGGUAGCGAAAUUCCUUGUCGGGUAAGUUCCGACCCGCACGAAAGGCGCAACGAUCUGGGCACUGUCUCAACGAGAGACUCGGUGAAAUUAUAGUACCUGUGAAGAUGCAGGUUACCCGCGACAGGACGGAAAGACCCCGUGGAGCUUUACUGCAACCUGAUAUGGAAUGUUUGUACCGCUUGUACAGGAUAGGUAGGAGCCGAAGAGACGUGUGCGCUAGCAUACGAGGAGGCAAUGGUGGGAUACUACCCUGGCUGUAUGACCAUUCUAACCCGCCACGCUUAGCGCGUGGGGAGACAGUGUCAGGUGGGCAGUUUGACUGGGGCGGUCGCCUCCUAAAGAGUAACGGAGGCGCCCAAAGGUUCCCUCAGAAUGGAUGGAAAUCAUUCGCAGAGUG
Molecule: ribosomal RNA, 2360 nt
Filed under: Listeria monocytogenes
Lineage: Bacteria; Bacillati; Bacillota; Bacilli; Caryophanales; Listeriaceae
Description: bacterial LSU rRNA
Rfam family: Bacterial large subunit ribosomal RNA
Source: RNAcentral